RNAcentral lists this ribosomal RNA (426 nucleotides) under uncultured bacterium. Its description in RNAcentral is "bacterial SSU rRNA". It matches the Rfam family "Bacterial small subunit ribosomal RNA", at positions 29 to 501 of the family's 1533-position model. The record is from RNAcentral.
AACGAACGCUGGCGGCAUGCCUAACACAUGCAAGUCGAACGCUCCGCAGGGGGAGUGGCGAACGGGUGAGUAACGCGUGGGAACCUGCCCAGUAGUUGGGGAUAACCGCGGGAAACUGCGGCUAAUACCGAAUACGCCCUAAGGGGGAAAGGAUUUAUCGCUAUUGGAGGGGCCCGCGUCGGAUUAGCUGGUUGGUGAGGUAACGGCUCACCAAGGCGACGAUCCGUAGCUGGUCUGAGAGGAUGAUCAGCCACACUGGGACUUAGACACGGCCCAGACUCCUACGGGAGGCAGCAGUGGGGAAUAUUGGACAAUGGGGGCAACCCUGAUCCAGCAAUGCCGCGUGAGUGAUGAAGGCCUUAGGGUUGUAAAGCUCUUUUACCGGGGACGAUGAUGACGGUACCCGGAGAAUAAGCCCCGGCUAAC